UUGGAGGGCAAGUCUGGUGCCAGCAGCCGCGGUAAUUCCAGCUCCAAUAGCGUAUAUUAAAGUUGUUGCAGUUAAAAAGCUCGUAGUUGAAUUUCGGGGUCAGUAGGUCGGUCGUGCCACUGGUAUGAACUGGUUUUACUGAUUCCUCCCUCUUGAAGAACUGUAAUGCCAUUAAUUUGGUGUUGCAGGGAAUCAGGACUGUUACUUUGAAAAAAUUAGAGUGUUUAAAGCAGGCUUACGCUUGAAUACAUUAGCAUGGAAUAAUGAAAUAGGACGUUUGAUUCUAUUUUGUUGGUUUCUAGGAUUGACGUAAUGAUUAAUAGGGAUAGUUGGGGGCAUUAGUAUUCAAUUGUCAGAGGUGAAAUUCUUGGAUUUAUUGAAGACUAACUACUGCGAAAGCAUUUGCCAAGGAUGUUUUCAUUAAUCAAGAGCGAAAGUUAGGGGAUCGAAGACGAUCAGAUACCGUCGUAGUCUUAACCAUAAACUAUGCCGACUAGGGAUCGGACGAUGUUAAUUUUUUAAUGACUCGUUCGGCGCCUUACGGGAAAC
RNAcentral lists this ribosomal RNA (549 nucleotides) under uncultured Rhizophagus. RNAcentral describes it as "SSU rRNA". It matches the Rfam family "Eukaryotic small subunit ribosomal RNA", at positions 548 to 1098 of the family's 1831-position model. Lineage: Eukaryota; Fungi; Glomeromycota; Glomeromycetes; Glomerales; Glomeraceae. The record is from RNAcentral.